GGCUCGAGAUCACUCCCAACCCAUGUGAACAUACCUAUUGUUGCUUCGGCGGGAUUGCCCCGGGCGCCUCGUGUGCCCCGGAUCAGGCGCCCGCCUAGGAAACUUAACUCUUGUUUUAUUUUGGAAUCUUCUGAGUAGUUUUUACAAAUAAAUAAAAACUUUCAACAACGGAUCUCUUGGUUCUGGCAUCGAUGAAGAACGCAGCGAAAUGCGAUAAGUAAUGUGAAUUGCAGAAUUCAGUGAAUCAUCGAAUCUUUGAACGCACAUUGCGCCCGCCAGUAUUCUGGCGGGCAUGCCUGUCUGAGCGUCAUUUCAACCCUCAUGCCCCUAGGGCGUGGUGUUGGGGAUCGGCCAAAGCCCGCGAGGGACGGCCGGCCCCUAAAUCUAGUGGCGGACCCGUCGUGGCCUCCUCUGCGAAGUAGUGAUAUUCCGCAUCGGAGAGCGACGAGCCCCUGCCGUUAAACCCCCAACUUUCCAAGGUUGACCUCAGAUCAGGUAGGAAUACCCGCUGAACUUAAGCAUAUCAUAAG
RNAcentral lists this ribosomal RNA (530 nucleotides) under Clonostachys rosea. RNAcentral's name for it is "eukaryotic LSU rRNA". The stretch from base 157 to 310 matches the Rfam family "5.8S ribosomal RNA". Lineage: Eukaryota; Fungi; Ascomycota; Sordariomycetes; Hypocreales; Bionectriaceae. The record is from RNAcentral.